Populus euphratica (Euphrates poplar) is the source of this 511-nucleotide long non-coding RNA. RefSeq lists it as uncharacterized. Lineage: Eukaryota; Viridiplantae; Streptophyta; Magnoliopsida; Malpighiales; Salicaceae. The record is from RefSeq and is a predicted model, not a curated record. The transcript is spliced from 2 exons.
AGUUAUGGAUCUUGUUAGCGGCAGGGCGUUGCCAUGUCGCUUUCAUAUCUGACAACUCGGGCUUUAAAAGGCCGCUGUUUUUGGAGGAGGGAGGGAGGGAGGGAGGGGGGAGGCGGGAGCAGCCGGGAAAAAAAGAAAGAAAAAGAAAAACCUCCAAUUAGCUUAGAUGAAUGCCAUGGAUGUCUGUAAGGUGUCAAGUUAUGGAGGUGGAGUCUCUUGAGGAUGAAGAAGUUGCUAAAUGGUUGAAUGAUUCAUUUGUCAGUAUGAUGAAGGCCAACUUGUUAAUGUUUACUUGGAUACCUUAUCCAUUGCAAAUUAAAGAUGUCUUCUCUUCUUGAUUAUUUGAAGAGAAGCAUGGGUGGAUCAGAAGGUAAAGGAUUUUCAGCCGAGGACGCAGAUGGGGCUGAGCAUUAAUUAGGGAGCUAGAAAGAAAAAGGAUCCUCUUACAAAAGGACUACUAAAGAGUUCUCUAAUCAUUAUUAUUGUGGCCUUGUUUCUUAAUUAUUGUUUA